This 432-nucleotide unclassified non-coding RNA is filed under the name soil metagenome. Its description in RNAcentral is "partial contains 5.8S ribosomal RNA, internal transcribed spacer 2, and large subunit ribosomal RNA". The stretch from base 1 to 120 matches the Rfam family "5.8S ribosomal RNA", at positions 35 to 154 of the family's 154-position model. The record is from RNAcentral.
GAUGAAGAACGCAGCGAAAUGCGAUACGUAAUGUGAAUUGCAGAAUUCAGUGAAUCAUCGAAUCUUUGAACGCAUAUUGCGCUCUCUGGUAUUCCGGAGAGCAUGCUUGUUUGAGUAUCAGUAAACACCUCAACUUCCAUAUCUUUUUUGAAAUGGGAGUUGGACUUGAGUGAUCCCAACGCUUUUCCUCACCGAAAAGUGGCGGGUUACUUGAAAUGCAGGUGCAGCUGGACUUUUCUCUGAGCUAUAAGCAUAUCUAUUUAGUCUGCCUAAAAAACAGAUUAUUACCUUUGCUGCAGCUAACAUAAAGGAGAUUAGUUCUUGUGCUGACUGAUGCAGGAUUCACAAAGACGGCUUCGGCCGACUUUGUAAACUCGAUCUCAAAUCAAGUAAGACUACACGCUGAACUUAAGCAUAUCAAUAAGCGGAGGA